Molecule: ribosomal RNA, 269 nt
Filed under: uncultured prokaryote
Description: partial 16S ribosomal RNA
Rfam family: Bacterial small subunit ribosomal RNA
Source: RNAcentral
UACGGAGGGUGCAAGCGUUGUUCGGAAUUACUGGGCGUAAAGCGGGUGUAGGCGGUCGGGCAAGUCGAAUGUGAAAGCCCUCGGCUCAACCGAGGAAGUGCAUCCGAAACUGCUUGACUUGAGUAUGAGAGAGGAAGGCGGAAUUCCCGGUGUAGCGGUGACAUGCGUAGAUAUCGGGAGGAACACCGGUGGCGAAGGCGGCCUUCUGGCUCAAUACUGACGCUGAGACCCGAAAGCGUGGGGAGCAAACAGGAUUAGAUACCCGCGUA